AGUGAACGCUGGCGGUAGGCCUAACACAUGCAAGUCGAACGGCAGCACAGUAAGAGCUUGCUCUUACGGGUGGCGAGUGACGGACGGGUGAGAAAUACAUCGGAAUCUACUUUGUCGUGGGGGAUAACGUAGGGAAACUUACGCUAAUACCGCAUACGACCUACGGGUGAAAUCAGGGGAUCUUCGGACCUUGCGCGUUUCAAUGAGCCGAUGUCGGAUUAGCUAGUUGGCGGGGUAAAGGCACACCAAGGCGACGAUCCGUAGCUGGUCUGAGAGGAUGAUCAGCCACACUGGAACUGAGACACGGUCCAGACUCCUACGGGAGGCAGCAGUGGGGAAUAUUGGACAAUGGGCGUAAGCCUGAUCCAGCCAUACCGCGUGGGUGAAGAAGGCCUUCGGGUUGUAAAACCCUUUUGUUGGGAAAGAAAAGCAGCAGGUUAAUCCCCCGCUGUUCUGACGGUACCCAAAGAAUAAGCACCGGCUAACUUCGUG
This 492-nucleotide ribosomal RNA is filed under the name uncultured bacterium. RNAcentral's name for it is "partial 16S ribosomal RNA". It matches the Rfam family "Bacterial small subunit ribosomal RNA", at positions 29 to 507 of the family's 1533-position model. The record is from RNAcentral.